Molecule: microRNA precursor, 64 nt
Filed under: Ptychodera flava
Lineage: Eukaryota; Metazoa; Hemichordata; Enteropneusta; Ptychoderidae
Description: Pfl-Mir-96-P3_pre stem-loop
Source: RNAcentral
UAUGGCACUAUAGAAUUCACUGCCGAUCAAGCUCUCUGUCCAGUGGAAUCAAUGGUGCCAUGCA